Molecule: ribosomal RNA, 485 nt
Filed under: uncultured bacterium
Lineage: Bacteria
Description: partial 16S ribosomal RNA
Rfam family: Bacterial small subunit ribosomal RNA
Source: RNAcentral
ACUCAAAGGAAUAGACGGGAGCUUGCACAAGCGGUGGAGCGUGUGGCUCAAUUCGUCGCUAAGCGAAGAACCUUACCAGGGCUAGAAAUCCUACUGCACGCCUCGGGAAACCGAGGAAGCCUUCGAGGGUGUAGGACAGGUGAUGCAUGGCUGUCGUCAGUUCGUGGUUUGAAUCGUUCCCUUCAGUGGGGUAACGAACGCAACCUUCGUUGCCUGUUACAAGUGUCAGGCGAGACUGCCCCCUCACGGGGGAGGAAGGUGGAGAUGACGCCAAGUCAGCAUGUCCCUCUGAUGUCCUGGGCUGCACACGCGCUACAAUCGCCGUUACAAAGGGACGCAAUAUCGCAAGAUGGAGCAAAUCCUUAAAAGCGGCGCCAGUUCGGAUUGGGGUCUGCAACCCGACCCCAUGAAGCCGGAAUCGCUAGUAAUCGUGGAUCAGCCAUGCCACGGUGAAUACGUUCUCAAGCUUUGUACACACCGCCCGU